RNAcentral lists this long non-coding RNA (1178 nucleotides) under Meriones unguiculatus (Mongolian gerbil). RNAcentral describes it as "lncRNA (ENSMUGG00000014799.1)". The record is from RNAcentral. Lineage: Eukaryota; Metazoa; Chordata; Mammalia; Rodentia; Muridae.
UUGAAAUUUAGUAUGGAUAUCAGUCUUAUAAUUAUCCACUGAAUACCUGUUCUGUUAGGUCGAGACCUGUCCCAAGAGAAUCCAUAUUUACCCACAUGGAAGCCUAUGAGGAGUAUACCACCGAUGGAUUAUACUGAACCUUGCUAUGCCAAGGCUCCAUGAAACUCAGAUGAGACAGAACAAGAAAAAAACUCCAUCUCUCCUUGUUCAAUGAUGUCUUGGUUAUGACUAAUAACCUAGCCAUGAACGAUGCCAAGAAGGGAAACAGGAAACCUCUUCCACUGAAGAUAAUCAUUGAGGACAUCUACGGAGAUCUUAGCUUUGAGCAAAUGUCCUUCAACUGUACCUGCAGAUGUUCCCCCAUGAAUAGGAUAAUUAAUUAACAUAUCUGCCUUGUAAUAGUACUGUGAUACUACAUGCAAAUGAGCUACUGUACCAUAACAUAUAAAUCAACUAUCCAUAGCAUCUCUAUCCCCAGGGAAUCAAACACAUGUACCCUUUAAAUCCCUCCCAUGGCCCAACAUUUAUAAAUCCUUGAUAUUGCACGAACAAAACGUGUUUUGUGAUAUAAUCAGCUGUCCACCAUGGUUACUUGAAAUUUGUCAGUCAUUUAUUCUGGGGAGAGGGAGUACGCCCCUCCUCCCUGGAAAUUUGCCACUGAAUUUUCAGGGCUUGGCCACCAGCUAUGGUGACUGGAUAGUGCAAUAUAUCCACAAAACUGUUGACCUCAGGUGAAGCACCCACUGGGCUGAGACCUACCUUUCAGUCCAAGAGGCCUGCACCUCACUGUAUCUGCCUCCUGGCUUGUUGGACCUGAGCCUGGUCAGGCCUGUGAUUUUUCUGCAAUCCCACACCAAAGAGAUGGAACACUUCCACAUAAUCACAGGCACUUAUGUGUAAUACCAAAAACCUCAUUUAAAAAAACUGUAACACCUGUUGUAAACCUCAUUUCCACCUCCCACAGUGAGACGAUGUGCCUGGCCUAGAACACAGGCCUUGAGCUUGAACUAGUUUUCUUCCUUGAGCAGACUAAGUUGUUUUAUAGAGAAAUGGCACCUACAGUCUCAGGAUCCCUCUGUUCUUUGUCCAGAAACUGAGACCUGGUUCCAAAAAUACCACCGGAUGAAAAAAUGACACUCAGUGCUUUGUGAGAACAUGAAAAUAUUUAAAAAGAAAUC